GAUGAAGAACGCAGCGAAAUGCGAUAAGUAGUGUGAAUUGCAGAAUUCAGUGAAUCAUCGAAUCUUUGAACGCACAUUGCGCCCCUUGGUAUUCCAUGGGGCAUGCCUGUUCGAGCGUCAUUUGUACCUUCAAGCUUUGCUUGGUGUUGGGUGUUUGUCCUGAGGGACUCGCCUUAAAGUGAUUGGCAGCCAGUGUUUGGUUUUGAAGCGCAGCACAAGUCGCGAUUCAAAGCUAUACGCCCGCUUCCACAAGCCUUUUUCACUUUUGACCUCGGAUCAGGUAGGGAUACUCGCUGAACUUAAGCAUAUCAAUAAGCGGAGGA
Molecule: unclassified non-coding RNA, 323 nt
Filed under: soil metagenome
Description: partial contains 5.8S ribosomal RNA, internal transcribed spacer 2, and large subunit ribosomal RNA
Rfam family: 5.8S ribosomal RNA (bases 1-120)
Source: RNAcentral